Molecule: ribosomal RNA, 332 nt
Filed under: Ramulus nematodes
Lineage: Eukaryota; Metazoa; Arthropoda; Insecta; Phasmatodea; Phasmatidae
Description: partial 12S ribosomal RNA
Source: RNAcentral
ACCUAAAGAAUUUGGCGGUAAUUUAUUCUUUUCAGAGGAAUUUGCCCUUUAAUCGAUAAUCCUCGUUUUAUCUUACCUACUCUUGUUUAAUAGUAUGUAUACCGCCGUUAUAAGUUUAUUUUAUUAGAAUAUAAUUUACUUAAAAUAUUAUUUUAUUUUAUUUCAGGUCAAGGUGCAGUUUAUGAGUAGGAUGAAGGUGAAUUACAUUAUUUUUUUUUUGAAUAAAUGGAUUUAUUUUUUAAAAGUUUUAUUGAAAGUGGAUUUGAAAGUAAUAUUAUUUAUAGAGAUUAUUUGAUUUUAGUUCUAAAUUAAGCACACAUCGCCCGGUCGCU